UACGGGGGGGGCAAGCGUUGCUCGGAAUCACUGGGCGUAAAGCGCACGUAGGCGGAUUGUUAAGUCAGGGGUGAAAUCCUGGAGCUCAACUCCAGAACUGCCUUUGAUACUGGCGAUCUUGAGUCCGGGAGAGGUGAGUGGAACUGCGAGUGUAGAGGUGAAAUUCGUAGAUAUUCGCAAGAACACCAGUGGCGAAGGCGGCUCACUGGCCCGGUACUGACGCUGAGGUGCGAAAGCGUGGGGAGCAAACAGG
RNAcentral lists this ribosomal RNA (253 nucleotides) under uncultured bacterium. Its description in RNAcentral is "partial 16S ribosomal RNA". It matches the Rfam family "Bacterial small subunit ribosomal RNA", at positions 524 to 776 of the family's 1533-position model. The record is from RNAcentral.